ACACACACAUACACACCUACAUGGCAUCGAAACCUCGUACUUCCCGAAAGAGUGUCUCGGGUAUCAUGCUCCCUAAAAAUAAGAAAGAGCGGAA
This 94-nucleotide non-coding RNA is filed under the name uncultured Mamiellales. Lineage: Eukaryota; Viridiplantae; Chlorophyta; Mamiellophyceae; Mamiellales. The record is from RNAcentral.